This 525-nucleotide long non-coding RNA is filed under the name Trifolium pratense (red clover). Its description in RNAcentral is "long non-coding RNA (TPRA_LNC006156)". Lineage: Eukaryota; Viridiplantae; Streptophyta; Magnoliopsida; Fabales; Fabaceae. The record is from RNAcentral.
CAGAAGACUUACAAUACUUCUUGGAGUUUCAAAUUCCUCGAGAAUGGGCACCCAUGUUUUCUGAUCUGCCUUUGAGGCAUCAAAGGAAAAAGACUUAUUCUCCUCCACUGCAAUUUAGUUUCAUGUCUCCAAAGCUUCAUAUCAACUCUACACAGGUAAUUUUAACCAAACACGUCUUAAGCAUUGAGACUUAAUUAAGUAAACAUGUGUUGGUGUAUUACAUGUGUUAGCCUUUACUUUUAUAUAUUUGAGUUUAAUAUUAGCUUUACAUAAUGAUUUGUGAUUCAUGAUCUCAUAUCAAUAACACUCUUUUACACUUACAUUGCAUAUUUAAAUCAUAUCAGUAUUAUAGAUGACAUUAUGCGAUUAUUGCUAAUUAUAUCAGGUAGUAAGUGAACAAAAACCUGUGGUUGGUCUCCGAUUAUACUUGGAGGGAAGGAAAUGUGAUAAACUUGCAAUACAUAUACAUCAUCUUUCAAGCCUCCCAAAUACAAUGAUCCUUUCUUCAACCGCUACAACAAUGUC